RNA transcript from Drosophila sechellia, 2239 nucleotides. It is a transcript of the gene named 1,5-anhydro-D-fructose reductase, with no coding region annotated. NCBI's taxonomy places the organism in Eukaryota, Metazoa, Arthropoda, Insecta, Diptera, Drosophilidae. The transcript has 6 exons. The record is from RefSeq and is a predicted model, not a curated record.
CACCAUUUGUGAUUUUUGUAUAUAUAUAUAUUGCAUUUUUUAAAAGCUGUUCACGUUAUUUCAAAAUCGCAUCGUUUUCAACAAGGCCUUUAUGGUUUCAAUAUCAUUCAAUACAUGUUGUUUAUAUUCGGUUUAUAAAAUAAGCCUUUGAACGCAGAAAAACGGUUUCUUGUUUUAAAUUUUAAAAUUUCCCUCUGCGGCGAAUCGAUUAUAUUCCGCGAAGGUCUUUUGCUUGCCCAAAAGAUUCUAAAUUUAAACAAUUCUCGCACAUAUAGUUGUGAUAGCAGAUCUGUCACAAGACAUGCUGUUUGUAGCCAGUUUAAUAGGCCUUUGAGUAUAGUUCACUUAGUAAAUUACAAAUUAAAGCUUUCCAAAAACGAAGCCAGUGUAACAAGAUAUUUUACAAGGAGCAAAAGGAUUCGAUCAUGUCGACACCGAAUUUUCUAUUGAGCAAUGGUAAAAAUAUGCCCAUGUUGGGUCUCGGAACUUGGCGGAGCCCGCCGGAAGUGGUGACCCAAGCAGUAAAGGAUGCCAUUGACAUAGGCUAUCGCCAUUUUGACUGCGCCCAUAUCUAUGGCAAUGAGGCGCAAGUGGGAGCUGCCCUCCGGGAGAAAAUGGACGAGGGAGUAGUCACACGAGAUGAACUCUUCAUCACGAGCAAAUUGUGGAACACACACCACAAGCCGGAUUUGGUGCGCCCCGCAUGUGAGACGAGCAUAAGGAACUUGGGAGUCAACUACCUAAACCUCUACCUGAUGCACUGGCCCAUGGCCUACAAGUCGGGCAAUGACAACCUGUAUCCCACGUGUCCGGAUACCAAUAAAGCCGCAUUCGAGGACAUCGACUAUGUGGACACGUGGCGUGCAAUGGAGAAUCUGGUGGACGAGGGGCUGGUCCAGGCCAUCGGUGUGUCUAACUUCAAUGAGCAGCAGAUGAAUAGGCUUCUGAGUGUGGCCAAGCUAAAGCCGGUCGUUCUACAAAUCGAGUGCCACCCGUACCUUAGUCAGAAGCCAUUGAUUACGCUGUGCUAUGACAAUGCCAUUGCGGUGACCGCCUACAGCUGCCUGGGAUCGGGACAUACGCCCUACGAGAAGCCCGGCGCUUAUCCACUGCUCCAGCACCCGACCAUCUUGGCUAUAGCUGAGAAAUACGAAAGGACAGCGGCGCAGGUGCUCCUACGCUACCAGACACAAUCGGGUAUAAUCGUCAUCCCAAGAUCUGUAUGCAAACAGCACAUGUUGGACAACUUUAAGCGAAUCUGGGACUUUGAGUUGGCCAUCGAUGACAUACAGGCCAUUAACGAUUUGGACUGCAAUGGGCGUUUUAUGACCAUGAAGGCGGCCUAUGGACAUCCUCAUCAUCCAUUUGAACCCGUACAGGCAAAGUAGAUAAUUAAUAUUGAUUGCCUUCAAUGUGAUAAGUACGAUUAUAUGCGGUAAUCUCCAGAGUUACUCUGAUGAUAUACAGGCUUUAAUACUAAAACCAAGUAGUCGUUGCAUUCCAUCAGUCAAGAAGUCUAUACAAAUAAAUAAAAUUUACUGGCGUACAAGAUGAACACUCUAAUGAAAAUUCAAUUGUUUAGGCCUGUUUUUCACAUUACGUUAAGGAAUUAUGGGAAAGCAGAGCGAUUUAUGUGGUGUCAGAAGGAGUAUGCUAGAGCUCCAAAAGUGGUUUGCUUGGACGGAAAUGAGAUUCCAGUAAUUGGACUCGGAACUUUCAAUGUAAAUAUUAAAACAAUGUCUGUUUUUCAUAUUAAUGCUAUAGUUUUGAUAAAUAAUCGCCUUUUUACAUAGCGAUCAUAAAGAGCCUAUAUGUCAAUGGUUGUAGAGCUUUUGCAAUUUCACAGUGAUCAUAACAUAUGUAAAGUAUUAUUACAUUUAAGGUUACAUUUGAAUCUCUUAACAAAUGAAGAUUAGCAAGAAACAUCUUAGUAUCAUUUAUUAAAAAUUAUUAAUUAUUUUAAUUGAUUCAAGCUUAAUACCAAUUUUCUUUUAUGCUAAAUAGAGAGUAUAAGAGAACUUAAUAUUUAAGCGUAACUGACGAUCGCUCAGCUGUUCGGCGUGUCGACUAUGCAGCCCUGUUCUCGAAAGCUUUUUAGAAUUUCGAACAAGCUUUCGCGGUGCGUAUAUAAGCGGUUAACAGCUGAGUGGAAUCGCUCAGUUUGUUCAGUAGCGGCAAUCGUAAAGAUUUCUAAUUGUAUUAUAAAUAUUUAUAAAUAUCCUUAAACUAUAAGCGAAAA